Molecule: ribosomal RNA, 460 nt
Filed under: uncultured bacterium
Lineage: Bacteria
Description: partial 16S ribosomal RNA
Rfam family: Bacterial small subunit ribosomal RNA
Source: RNAcentral
CCUACGGGUGGCAGCAGUGAGGAAUAUUGGUCAAUGGACGCAAGUCUGAACCAGCCAUGCCGCGUGCAGGAUGACGGCUCUAUGAGUUGUAAACUGCUUUUGUACGAGGGUAAACCCCGAUACGUGUAUCGGGUUGAAAGUAUCGUACGACUAAGGAUCGGCUAACUCCGUGCCAGCAGCCGCGGUAAUACGGAGGAUCCGAGCGUUCUCCGGAUUUAUUGGGUUUACAGGGUGCGUAGGCGGUUUGAUAAGUUAGAGGUGAAAUGUCGGGGCUCAACCCCGAAACUGCCUCUAAUACUGUUGGACUAGAGAAUAGUUGCGGUAGGCGGAAUGUAUGGUGUAGCGGUGAAAGGCUUAGAGAUCAUACAGAACACCGAUUGCGAAGGCAGCUUACCAAACUAUAUCUGACGUUGAGGCACGAAAGCGUGGGUAGCAAACAGGAUUAGAUACCCGUGUAGUC